Long non-coding RNA from Zea mays, 2848 nucleotides. RefSeq lists it as uncharacterized. Lineage: Eukaryota; Viridiplantae; Streptophyta; Magnoliopsida; Poales; Poaceae. The record is from RefSeq and is a predicted model, not a curated record. The transcript has 4 exons.
CCGUCGCGAAGGAUCCUCUCCCCCCGUCUUCGUCUUCGCAGGUAGGGGCUCUCUCCUCCAUCCAGACCCUCUCAUUCACCGCCGCCGUCUCGGACGUUCGUUGACCCUUUACUGUCGCAAGGGUUACCGCACCCACACUGGCGCCGCUACUUCGUCGUGAAGGUUCCUCUGCUCCCCCAUGUCGUGUCGUCAUCUUCCCAGAUAUCCGUAUCAACUCGGAGGUCUUCGUCUUUGGUUCCAAGAUCCAGUGCAACCAAGGUAAUGUGAUACUCAAUUUGUUGCGCACUAUACUGUCAACAGGUGCUGACCCAAUUUUUGUUUAUGGUUUACUUGGGAUACCAUUCAUCUGUUGUGUCACUAUUAUUUAUUGACGGAUUAGUUCAUACUUUGUUAGUUACUACCUGUAGUUUGUAUGGUUUACUCGGGGUCUUUAUUACUUUGUUUAUCACAACCUUUUGUUUGUUCAGGGUUGAGUUCAUACUUUGUUAGUUACUACCUGUAUGUUAGUACCUUCAACCAAAGUUUGUCCAUCUUAGCACGCAAUUCAUGUGAAUAAAUGGAAGUUAGUAGAUUGUCCCCUUGUCUAGUUCACUAACCACCUAAAUCCACAUCAGAUGGAUUCAGCAGACUCCAUAGCCGACAAGGCAAUUGGAAGGAUGCAAGAGAUUGCGGACAAGAUUUAUUCCGUAGCUCGGGAAACAAUCCGUCCAGGACGCGGGUUGACCUCCUUUGACGCUACCAAACUUCGUGUAGCAUUGGAGGACAUUGCUUGCAUGAUGGAGCAAGAUUCUCUGGUUUUCCAAGAGUAUUUGGACAAGGUCAACAACGUAACCCACCAGCCUGAGAGCAACUACGAACCCUCAGAGUUGUCCUCACCACCCCCCGGUGAAGACAACCUUAGUCCAGACUGGGACUUUGCCGAGCACUUCGAAAGGUUUUGGGGAAUUGAAUAUGACUCCGAUCAGAUGCCUUCCUUUAGUGACAAUGAGGUUUAAGUUAGAACUUCGUUCAACUUGUAGUAAGGUCUUAGUGAAACAGGGAUAUGAUCAGGCUUUUGCUUAAUGGGCUGGUGUAAAUGUCUUCCCUGUCAUUUUGUGUCCAGUACCUGUUUAAUUAACGUUGUCUUUGUGUAAUUUAGGAAAUCCGAAUUUUACAACUUAUGGUACUACCUUAUGUUAUUAUGGUCAGUUCAGUGUUGUUUUUGUUUUCUUCUUAACUCGAGACCACUACGUAUUUUCAAAACUCUACACUUGUUUUGCACUAGAUGGACAAGUCUGGCAAAGUGAUUGCAAAGUGGGAUAGUAGAGCAACAAAAACUUACAUAGAAAUUUGUGUAGAAGAGGUCAAUGUCCGGAACAGGCCACAACACUUUCUUAAUGCAGAAGGGUAUGCUAACCUCAUAAGGAAGUUUAAGGAACGCACUGGUCGCACUUACACCAGGGAUCAAAUGAAGAAUAGGUGGGACUCCUUAAAGAGAAUGUUCACACAGUGGAAAACUCUUAAUGAAAGGGCUACAGGUCUUGGUCGAGACCCUCAUACUGGUUCAAUCAGUGCGCCAGAUGAGUGGUGGGCUAAGCAAAAUGAAGCAAUGCCAGGUUGUAUUAUGUUCAAAACAGUCCCCCUAGAGAACGAGGACGAGCUAAAGGUUAUGUUUGGACCCAUUGUCUGCAUAAAUGAAAGAACCCUUGUUCCUAGCGUUGAGGAUGCUAAUUCAUCAUCUGAUGAUCAUUUGGAAGCCACUUUAGGUGGGGGUGAAAACAGCACACCUGACCCAUGCACAAAUGCGACUGGGAAGCGUAAGAUGCGGCAUGAUUCUCCUAAACCAAAGAAGAAAAAAGAUUCGAGGGAAGAGUACAUGAAACGCCUAGUGGAGGCUUUUGAGUCGCGUUCAAUGACCACUAACAAGUCCAUUACCUCUGCUGACACGGACCCAGUUCGUGUUGAGGUUAUUGCGCAGUUGCAACAAGUUAUCGAUGAUAAGGAAUAAGUUUGGUCACUCCUUGGAAACAAUUAGUCGCAAGUAUAGUGAAGUCCUUAAUGCACUGUAUAAGAUGUCAUCUGACAUAAUCAAGCCCAAAGACCCAAAUUUCAUCGAGACUCAUCCUCGUUUGCGCGAGGCGAGAUUUUGGCCACACUUCAAGGAUUGCAUAGGAGCAAUUGAUGGUAGUCACUUUCUGGCGUCAGUCCCGGCCUCAGAGCAAGCCAAAUAUAUUGGCCGGCACGGUUACGCAUCGCAGAAUGUAAUGGCCGUUUGUGACUUCGAUAUGAGGUUUACAUUUGUUGUCACAGGAUGGCCAGGAUCCGUACAUGACACUAGAGUAUUACAAGAUACUUUGAUAACUUAUGCGGACAGGUUCCCCCAUCCACCGGAAGGUAAAUACUAUCUUGUCGAUUCAGGCUAUCCAAAUAGAAAGGGGUACCUUGCACCUUAUAAGGGUCAGAAGUACCACAUUUCGGAAUGGCAAAAUGCGAGACAACCUAUUGGGAGCAAAGAAGUAUUCAACUAUGCACACUCUUCGCUACGCAAUGUUAUAGAGCGAUCGUUUGGGGUGCUUAAAAUGAAGUGGAGAGUGCUAUUAAGUCUCCCUUCUUUUUCGCUUACCAAACAAUCCAAGAUAAUUAUUGCUUGUAUGACAUUGCAUAACUUCAUUAGAGAUAGUGCUCUACACGAUAGAGACUUUGAUGAACUAGGACCUAAUACCCUCAGUCAUGAUGUACCUUCAGGUGAGAGUAGUAGUAGCACAUCUGAUGAGUUAGACAUGAGUGAUUUUCAAGAUGCAAUUGCUAAUGCAUUAGUGUCGUAGUUAACUAUGUCAAUGUAACGAUACUUAUGAUGUAAUCAACUCCA